Molecule: ribosomal RNA, 107 nt
Filed under: uncultured eukaryote
Lineage: Eukaryota
Description: partial small subunit ribosomal RNA
Source: RNAcentral
ACCCAAAGUCACUUUAGCCAACCUGAAAGGAGGCGAGUGCCAAGGUAUGGGGGAUAUUGGGGUGAAGUCGUAACAAGGUAGCUGUAGGUGAACCUGCAGAAGGAUCA